AACGAACGCUGGCGGCGCGCCUAAUACAUGCAAGUCGAGCGAGAAGACGUAGCAAUACGUUUGUAAAGCGGCGAACGGGUGAGGAAUGCAUGGGUAACCUACCCUAGAGUGSGGAAUAACUAGCCGAAAGGUUAGCUAAUACCGCAUACGAUUCCCGGACUUCGGUUCGGGAGGGAAAGCGAUACCGUGGGUAUCGCGCUCUUGGAUGGGCUCAUGUCCUAUCAGCUUGUUGGUGAGGUAAUGGCUCACCAAGGCGUCUUCGACGGGUAGCUGGUCUGAGAGGACGAUCAGCCACACUGGCACUGCGACACGGGCCAGACUCCUACGGGAGGCAGCAGUAAGGAAUAUUGCGCAAUGGACGAAAGUCUGACGCAGCGACGCCGCGUGGGGGAUGAAGGUCUUCGGAUUGUAAACCCCUUUCGGCAGGGAAGAUGGAACGGGUAACCGUUCGAACUGUACCUGCAGAAGCAGCCAGCGGCUAACUUCGUGC
This 490-nucleotide ribosomal RNA is filed under the name uncultured bacterium. RNAcentral describes it as "bacterial SSU rRNA". It matches the Rfam family "Bacterial small subunit ribosomal RNA", at positions 29 to 508 of the family's 1533-position model. The record is from RNAcentral.